AUGGAUCAAUCCACUGCAUUACUCGUCUACUCCAUAAGCAAAACCUUAUCUUUAGAGGCUCCAGAAGAUCUAACGAGGAAUCUCAUCCCAGCGUAUGACAUUGAUGAGCAUUCUAGGAGUGAAAGGCUUCCUAUAGUACUUGAGGCUUAUGCAAAACAGUACAGAAAAGAUUUCACGCUUUUUCUGGAGCUGAGAGCCAAAGAGUUGGUCUCAGGAGGCCGAAUGAUUGUUUCGCUGGUAGGGAGGUGUUCUGAUGCAAUCGCCACCAAAUUCUCUUAUAUAUUAGAAAUUGUAGCUCAGAUUCUAUGUGUCAUGGUCUCAGAGGGUGUGAUUGACAAGGAAAAGUUUGAUUCCUUUUAUGGGCUAUUGUAUGAACCUUCUAGCGAAGAGCUGAGGGAGAUCAUCCAAGAAGAGGGCUCCUUUUCAAUCAGGGAGAUGCGGGCGCAUGACCUAGAACUGAUAUGA
Molecule: ribosomal RNA, 465 nt
Filed under: Triticum aestivum (bread wheat)
Lineage: Eukaryota; Viridiplantae; Streptophyta; Magnoliopsida; Poales; Poaceae
Description: partial small subunit ribosomal RNA
Source: RNAcentral